AGAAGCAAUGAGGAAAUAAAACGUACGGCAUUGGCGAACUUUCUUCCUUCAAGAUUCCUUUCCUUCUCCAAUCCAAUCCAAGGGAAGCCCUCCUCACACACACUCUCACACGACAUUCUUCAAUUUCUUUCCUCUUCUUCUAUAUAAAACAAACACAUAUUUAUCAUUAUGUAUACACAUUCAUUGAAUUUGAAGAUUUUAUUUUAAUUUGAUCUUCAGAUCUAUGUAAAGAAGAGAUUGCUUUUGAGUUUGGUUGAGAAGACACUGGAGGCAGCGGUUCAUCGAUCUUUUCCUGAAGAUUUUUUUGUUUUACACGAACAACACGAACCGAUCGAUAAACCUCUGCAUCCAGUGCUUCCCUUACUCCACUUUUUUUUCUUUUAAUUUUUUUUCUCUUUCUAAACAAAAACAAAACAGUUUGUUUUAGAAAAUUGUAUUGUAUGCUAGCAUCUUAAAAUCAUAAUUAUUUUUAUAUAUAUAAUUUGGAUUUGUGAGAGGCUGGUUAGUUACAGGGAGAGCAAAUGCAACAAAGCCUUAUCGUUUUCCAGUCGCGGCCUUAACCCGCAGACGUUAGCUCUUAAUACAGAGGCGAAUGGUUACUCUGGCUUUCAUUAUUUUUGCCCUACUUCUGGAAAUUGUUAGUUUUGGGGUUCCGUUCCUUUCUGUAAAGGUCUAGUGUCUUUCAAAAUAGUUUGUGCUCGGGCAGUUCUAUUUCCACGCGCAAGGGGCCAGGUGUGGUCAUUUUAUGUUAUCCUAUAGAUGGUAGAAGAAAAAAUGGUGGAUUAAAAUUUCUCUAGAGAAUGUACUCGCUAUUUUGACUUAUUUUCUGUAAAGCACUGGGUUUUUUUUGGUGACUUGUGGUCCCACGGGUGUUUUUUAUUACUUCGCAGGAAAGCAAUUCUGUCAAUAAAUUUUUUGGUGCUCUUUUUCCUGUA
Populus nigra (black poplar) is the source of this 935-nucleotide long non-coding RNA. RefSeq lists it as uncharacterized. Lineage: Eukaryota; Viridiplantae; Streptophyta; Magnoliopsida; Malpighiales; Salicaceae. The transcript has 2 exons. The record is from RefSeq and is a predicted model, not a curated record.